CAAAGAAUAGUUUAAUCUUAGAAUCCCAGCUUUGGGGGUUGGGGGUGGGAGUUUGAAUCUCCCUUCUUUGA
RNAcentral lists this transfer RNA (71 nucleotides) under Grammistes sexlineatus. RNAcentral describes it as "tRNA-Pro". It matches the Rfam family "tRNA". From Rfam's summary of the family: Transfer RNA (tRNA) molecules are approximately 80 nucleotides in length. The record is from RNAcentral. Lineage: Eukaryota; Metazoa; Chordata; Actinopteri; Perciformes; Serranidae.